GACGAACGCUGGCGGCGUGCCUAAUACAUGCAAGUAGAACGCUGAAGGAGGAGCUUGGUCUCCUGGAUGAGUGGCGAACGGGUGAGUAACGCGUAGGUAACCUGCCUGGUAGCGGGGGAGAACUAUUGGAAACGAUAGCUAAUACAGCGUAAGAGUAGAUGUUGCAUGACAUUUACUUGAAAGAUGCAAUUGCAUCACUACCAGAUGGACCUGCGGUGCAUUAGCUGGUUGGUGGGGUAACGGCUUACCAAGGCGACGAUACAUAGCCGACCUGGGGGGGGGGACGGCCAAACCGGGACUGAGACACCGCCCAGGCUCCCACGGGGAGCAACCGUAGGGAAUCUUCGGGCAUGGACGGAAGUCUUGCCGGGCAACGGCGCGUGAGGUAAGGAGGUUUUCGGGUCGGUAAACCCUUUUGUAAGGGAAGAACGAGAGGGAGAGUUGAAAGUUCACGCUGUGACGGUACCUUACCAGAAAGCGACGGCUAACUACGUG
Molecule: ribosomal RNA, 495 nt
Filed under: uncultured bacterium
Lineage: Bacteria
Description: partial 16S ribosomal RNA
Rfam family: Bacterial small subunit ribosomal RNA
Source: RNAcentral